This 265-nucleotide ribosomal RNA is filed under the name uncultured archaeon. RNAcentral describes it as "partial 16S ribosomal RNA". It matches the Rfam family "Archaeal small subunit ribosomal RNA", at positions 719 to 982 of the family's 1478-position model. The record is from RNAcentral.
ACACGACUACAUUAGAUACCCGUGUAGUCCUAGCCGUAAACGAUACUCGCUAGGUGUCGGCCACGGUGCGACCGUUGUCGGUGCCGUAGGGAAACCGUGAAGCGAGCCACCUGGGAAGUACGGCUGCAAGGCUGAAACUUAAAGGAAUUGGCGGGGGAGCACCACAACGGGUGGAGCUUGCGGUUUAAUUGGAUUCAACGCCGGAAAUCUUACCGGGACCGACAGCAACAUGAAGGCCAGGCUGAAGACUUUGCCGGAUUAGCUG